AAAACUAACCCAAUGAUGUUAUAUUCAUAUGUUAGACUAAUGAAAUGAUUUGAUUGUAAAUUAGUAACUGAGCUUUU
Small nucleolar RNA from Drosophila elegans, 77 nucleotides. RefSeq annotates it as small nucleolar RNA Me28S-Cm788. Lineage: Eukaryota; Metazoa; Arthropoda; Insecta; Diptera; Drosophilidae. The record is from RefSeq and is a predicted model, not a curated record. The transcript has a single exon.